AGUACAUCUACCUGCAUCAGUGCGUGAGAGAUGUCCUCAGAGCAAGGAAACUGCGGAAUGAACAAGAAAACCCUCUGUUUCCUAUCUAUGAAAACGUGAAUCCAGAGUACCACAGAGAUGCAAUCUACUCGAGACAUUAAGGUUGCACCUGCAGAUGCCCUGGAAUAAAGUUUUUCACUGUGUGACUUUUAAAAACCAGAUCUUGCUUCACGCCCUGUGGAGGUGCCAGCUCUUUCUGUUGAUACUAUGUAUAAUUUAUUAAUCUGGAGAAUGUUAAAGAAUUUAUGUAAUUUAAAGGUAACAGAUAUUAUUGUAUAUAUUUGUAUUUUGUAGUUUCUCCUGUAAAUAUGUAUUUUUCAUAAUGUUUAAUAUUGAGCUUUAUAUAAUAGUAUUUUUCCACACUAGAGUGUUCAUGGCUUGUUCUGCGUAAACUGAUUCAACCUGUAUGACAGGGCCCCUGGUGAAAUGUGUGUAGAGAAAGCAGCAAGGACAAUCCCUGGCUCUGUGUUUCUUGCAUGGGUUGAUACCCAUGGGGUAAGCAAAGGACAGAGCUGGGGGGAGCAUGCCAUAAGGCUAGCUUUGCCAAGCUACUGCCUUAUUAACAAACCCUGGGAUCUAAAGGCUGUAAGCGUCAAAGAAAGAUUAGGGCUGUGGCUACACCUUGGGUGGUAGAGCACAUGCCAGGAAAUUAAAAAUAUCAAUUUAAGAACUGGAGGAUGACACAGCACCAAAGCUGAGCGAGAUGUUUUUGUCUAAACUGGAAGCUUUUCAUCUGAAUCCUCCCAGGGUUACAAGCCAUGGUCAGCUCCAGGACCUUGAAACUUGCAGUGACUGCAGGGUUGAGGGCUCUGGUAGAAAAUGAGACUAACAGAUGAGACCUAGUGACAAUCAGUAAUGCCAGGUGUCCCUCGGCCUGGAACCUCCUGCAUAGGGUGCAUCCCUGUGACAUUCGGGCUUGGUUUUCCUUUGGAGAGAGCAAAGGUGGUAGGUCAUGCCCCUGGUCGAAGAAAGCCUGAUAUAUCAACAAGUUCAUAGAAAUCUCUACAUCACAUACAAUGAAUGAAAAAGUAAACAAUGGCUAAAAAGAACAACAACAACCCAGCUGUGCUUAGUCUAAAAAUCUUUCAGAAGAUCUUUUUAAGUUGAUGCAGUUGAAAUGUCAAGUACUUACCUGAAUUAAUAUAAAUGGCAAUACACACCCUACCAAUUUUAUCCUUACAAUCGGUGCUUUAGGUUGACUGUAAAAAUUCCAGUGAGUUAGAAAGUGGACAUUGACCAAAUCAAGGCCCGAUUUGAAGUUUAUAGAAACGGAGGAACAGUUUCUAAGGAUCCCUGUGAACAGCAGUGAGGAUUCAGAGUUCUCUCGGUGUCACUGUGCUCUGUGCUCUUGAGAAAAUGGCUCAGUUGGGCUCUGAUCCUGUAUCCAGAAAACCUUUUAGAUGGGAAAAAGAGGAGCCGAGGUAUCAGCUUGGAGGUAUAGCUAAGGAGAAAAUGGAGGUCAGACAUGGCAUUGGUGUGGCGUCUGUUAGGGAUCAUUUUUCUUAGAGGAAAAAAAAGAAAGCUAGGCUGAAGGAGCUGCUUGCUGUGAGGUGGCAUGCUAGUGUGGCCAUCUCCAGAGGCCCUCUCCCUCCCACACACACACACCUCUAGCAAGAGGAAAACAGAACAAGGGUUGUAAACUGAUGUUGGUACAAAGCAUGUGAGUAACCUGGGAAGAGAGGUUCAUUUUCAGCUUUUUGUUCAGUGAGAAAAGUCCCCAGCAAGUGCCUGGAAUCUGUCAGGUGCUGCUCCAAAAUCUGUUUCUUUGUCCACCAAGAGUGCAUGGUGGCAGUGAAAUUAUCCUUGUGACUGGUUUGAAUAGAACUUAAGAGAGGGCCCAGACGAGGCUAUGAGAGCACAGUUGGUCAGUUUCCUUAGGGUGCUUUGCUGCUACCAAGUGCUGAAGCUGUUUCUGCUAGAUGCAGAAGAGAAAGCAAUUAAAAUUGCACAAACCAGAAAGUAUAACCACAAAGCACCUGUACAUGUGUAACCAUAAAUGACAUCCACAUACCCUCAAAGCAUUUGGGGGCAGGAUCAGAGUUAUGGAAACGAAUACAGCCACACAAGCAGGGAAAACCAUGCAUUCAUCUAUUGUCAUCUGUUUGGGGAAGUACUGAUUCCUCCUUCUCUAUACUAGUUUUAAACCCCCUUAGCAACAAAUAUUUCACUAUGCAAUCUCUCUCUCCCCCAGGAAAAUGAAAUACAGAUCUAGUUGACCCACUCAUUGAAUUUAGCAGACAGCCAGGCUGGAAAUGUAGCUACUGGUAGAGUGUUUGUCUGGCAUGUGGGAGGCCCUGGGUUUAAUCUCAGGUACCACAAAAUAAGCAAGGAGAGAAAUGAAAAGGUUUCUUUGCCAUUCACUCCACUGGAUGCAUCUCCCCUUGAUCGCGUCAUGUGGUUAUGCCCGUAAACACUCCACUUCCUGUCUUGUCGGGCAUCCUGUCUGCACCUGAACGCUGCUCUUUAAUCAGCAAAGCUUCAAAGUACUUCAAGGCUAUCAAAUCUUGAGAGAGUCUCUUUGGCAUCUUAAUAAUUAUUUACCCAGCUUCCUUAUAAUUAACUCCUUUAAUCUCUUCACAUUAAAUCAAUUUUACAUUAUCAUUCAGCUUUCCCCUGGAGAGCUGCCAACUUUUCCACUCUUGAGUCAGAUUUUUCAAAGAUGCAUCUUCCCCCCUGGACUUGCAAAUGUUCAUCCUGAGGAACUUCCCACCCUUUAGUGCCCAAGCUCCUCUUUUCCACGGCCUGCCCCUUUUUCCUAUUCGAUGGAUCCUGUGCCAAUGGGAUGUGAUUUUAUCUUCUGCCCAUCCCAUCUCCUUUCACCCAUUGCUAACAUUUCAUAAGCUCAGUAUUAUAGACGAGUAAUCAAGACUUAAUUUUUUUCAACAUUAAAAUGGCAGCAAUUCAGCAAUUUGGGGUCAGUUAUAUUUAGGAGGCUCUGUAAUUAAUUUUGCUAUUACCUCUUGGAAGUAAGCCCAAAAUGAUAUGAGAAAAUAAUAUGAAAUGGUUUAACAGAUGUCCAGCAACACAAAAAUAGGGCUCUCACGUUACACUUCAUACUGCUUCUCUUAUCUUGUUGUUAAGGAUGUAACUUUUCAUAUUAAAUACAUUCUGCUCCCUUUGCAAAAUUCUUGCUCAGUUAGUUUAUGGGCAUUUUGGAAGGUUGAAUCCUUAAAGCUGCUAGAUCUGUGUAUUUGCCUGAGAGUCCCAGCCAUGGAAUAUUCUAGAAUUUUUGUUCACACAGCUGCCCAGACCAAACCUUACCACGCAAUGAUAAAUAGGUAGUAAGGAAUUAGCUGCUUGGUUGUAGAAACAGUUCAGAGGUUUUCCAAGUUCUGUUUCAUUGGGAAAAAUGAAUAUAUCUGACCAGACAAGAGUGGUAAGAAGGCAUGAGCAGCCCCGGUGAGCAAGUUCUCAUCCCGGAGGAGUCAACAGAGAAAUGGCACACCUGCUUCAAUGCCCCAUUACCAUUCCGAAGAUUUUUCAUCUACGCUCCAGAAAUGCGUCCGAUGUUGAAAGACUGUUUCACAGCCGAGGAAACUUUAGACCAUGACUGCAGAGAGGAAGUAAAAUGAUGUAAGGAAGGGAGAACAUUGGAGAAGAGGUGAGCAACGAGAGCAUCAGGAAGACAGAAUGGUGUGUCUCCCUUCUCGGGUGGGUCUUUGAAAAUCUCAUCAUGUAUUUAUUUCUGUGAAGACAGAUGGAUUGACCAUUCCUCACCCCCCAAAUCUGAAACUCAAAAUGCUCCAAAGUCAAAGGCUUUUUGGAGCACUGACGUGACAUAGUAGGAUGCUCUAUAGCUGGCCUUGUGUGAUGUGUCAGUCAGAACACAGGUACAUGAAAACUACCAUGUAAACUUACAAUCAGCUAUGUAUACAGGGAAUAAGGGAGACAGAAAUGGAUUUCAUAUUGAGAGAUUCAUCCUCAAUAUUCAUAUUAUAGUUAUUCAAAUACUCCAAACUUAUUUUUAAAAGCAAACAGAUUCGGAUCACAAACAUUUCAGGUAAGGGAUCUUUGACCUGUGCUACUAUUGUUGGGAUUCACUGCGACCAUGUUGGUCAGGAGAUUUAGCUGAUUCAACAACUGAAUUGAUUAAUUUGGUUUUUUGCAUUCGCCAGGUGUGUGACUAAGUUUCCAGGAUCUGUCACUGCAGACACAGCACCUUAAUGCCUUACAGUACAGGGUAACUUUGAGAGUGUGGCCAUUUCAGUUGAAAUUCAGGGUGACAUUCGAUGCAGCCAUGAUAACAGAAAAAAAAAAAAUCUGUUCUCUUCUAAAAAUGUGUCUAGCAGUGAAAACAUUUCUGGCUGAAAGAACACUUGACUUGUAUGGAAGCUUCUUUGGAAUAAAUGUAUGCUUUUUAUUUUUUUAAGGAUUGUUUAUAUAGAUAACAUUCAUCAAAUAAGGAAAUUAUUGAUGAGUGCUCCCAAAGUAGAAGUUUAUGUAAUGGAAAUUAAAGAUAUAUUAAAAGAUUUACCAAAGAUCAGUUUUUAAUGGAUAUACCAAUGUACUUGAUUUUUUUAUAAGACACCAAAGUAAGUCUUUUCAAAGCUGUGAAUCAUGACAGACAAAUGUAAUGUGUCCCUUCUUAGAAUAGUCAUGAGAAGGAUUAGUUUGGGCUGUUUUCUGCCUCAUGUAAUUUCUUUUAAGAAAUAUCAUUCUUGCCCCGACAGCAAGCUUUUCUGUUAUGUCUGAGACGUAUUUUAAUAGCUAUGUGUGUAAAUAUGUGUUGCAUCGAGAAAGGAGCACCUGAGAUUGUGACUUCAGAAAUCUAGCAGAGAUGACCAGCCUCCAUCUGCCAGUUAGCAGGAAGGUCUAGACCAGAAUUCAGCAUCUUUCUGAUCCCAACCAUGCCAACAGAAGGCACCAAUGUCCCCACUUGAAGGGCACUUGGCCAAUGUUGGCGAGGCUCCUGGGGCUUAGAAAUUCUCCAAGAACAAAAAGCAAGCUUGUUUUCUCAACUUCCACUGUAUAGUGAAUCGUUCACACCUCACCCAUACCCUGCACGCGUGAUGUAGGGUGGAAGUUGCUCCUGGCUGAGUGCUUUGGAUGUUGGAUCGUGUCUGCUAGUUCUGAAGUCCACAGAAGUGAAUCUAGCCGCUCCUACAUCUGUGUGAAGCAUACUAUCUAAUGUAAAUAAAUCCAGCAGCUGAACUUAUUAUGUUCUAUAAUAGAGCACUUCUGUGGUUUCAAAAUCAUUUACAUGUUCUCUGCAAAUCUAGUUAAAAUGGCAAUAAAUCUAUUUUUUUUCUCUGUACUAUAGCAUCUACCCACACUAUUGCAUUUGUAGCCAGCGUUGUUUGAACAAAGAACCUCACUGGUCUUUCUAUUUAAAUAAUGUAUGUGCUUAAUAUAUUUUCAGAUUUGUAACGGUGGUUAAAAGAACCUAUCUGGAAUCUUGCACACACCCUCACCAACGUAGGAAUAAAGCUGCUGCUUGUUGAAAGCCA
Onychomys torridus (southern grasshopper mouse) is the source of this 5486-nucleotide long non-coding RNA. RefSeq lists it as uncharacterized. The record is from RefSeq and is a predicted model, not a curated record. NCBI's taxonomy places the organism in Eukaryota, Metazoa, Chordata, Mammalia, Rodentia, Cricetidae. The transcript has 2 exons.